UUAAGUUCAGCGGGUAGUCCUACCUGAUUUGAGAUCAAACGUUCAAAGAGCUGUCCUCGGUGAGGAGAGACAUGCCGUUUAUGAGCCCCAGUGAACCUUCAUCGCUGAAGGUUACCUGGUGGACAACCACAAGCGUAGAUAGUUAUCACACCUGUGAUGCCACCAAACACUGGCAAGCUGAUUCAUUUGAGAGGAGCUGA
RNAcentral lists this unclassified non-coding RNA (200 nucleotides) under Tomentella sp. RNAcentral describes it as "partial internal transcribed spacer 2". Lineage: Eukaryota; Fungi; Basidiomycota; Agaricomycetes; Thelephorales; Thelephoraceae. The record is from RNAcentral.